UAUUGGACAAUGGGCGAAAGCCUGAUCCAGCAACGCCGCGUGAGGGAUGACGGCCUUCGGGUUGUAAACCUCUUUCAGUACCGACGAAGCGAAAGUGACGGUAGGUACAGAAGAAGCACCGGCCAACUACGUGCCAGCAGCCGCGGUAAUACGUAGGGUGCGAGCGUUGUCCGGAAUUAUUGGGCGUAAAGGGCUCGUAGGCGGUUUGUCACGUCGGGAGUGAAAACUCGGGGCUUAACUCCGAGCCUGCUUCCGAUACGGGCUGACUAGAGGUAUGCAGGGGAGAACGGAAUUCCUGGUGUAGCGGUGAAAUGCGCAGAUAUCAGGAGGAACACCGGUGGCGAAGGCGGUUCUCUGGGCAUUACCUGACGCUGAGGAGCGAAAGUGUGGGGAGCGAACAGGAUUAGAUACCCUGGUAGUCCACGCCGUAAACGAUGGGCACUAGGUGCUUGGGGGAGCGACCCCCUGAGUGCCGGCGCUAACGCAUUAAGUGCCCCGCC
Molecule: ribosomal RNA, 500 nt
Filed under: uncultured bacterium
Lineage: Bacteria
Description: bacterial SSU rRNA
Rfam family: Bacterial small subunit ribosomal RNA
Source: RNAcentral